GACGAACGCUGGCGGCGUGCCUAAUACAUGCAAGUCGAACGCACUCUCGUUUAGAUUGACGGAGUUUGCUCCUGAUUGAUAAACAUUUGAGUGAGUGGCGGACGGGUGAGUAACACGUGGGUAACCUGCCCUAAAGUGGGGGAUAACAUUUGGAAACAGAUGCUAAUACCGCAUAAAACCUAACACCGCAUGGUGUAGGGUUGAAAGAUGGUUUCGGCUAUCACUUUAGGAUGGACCCGCGGUGCAUUAGUUAGUUGGUGAGGUAAAGGCUCACCAAGACCGUGAUGCAUAGCCGACCUGAGAGGGUAAUCGGCCACACUGGGACUGAGGCACGGCCCAGACUCCUACGGGAGGCAGCAGUAGGGAAUCUUCCACAAUGGACGAAAGUCUGAUGGAGCAACGCCGCGUGAGUGAAGAAGGUUUUCGGAUCGUAAAACUCUGUUGUUGGAGAAGAAUGUAUCUGAUAGUAACUGAUCAGGUAGUGACGGUAUCCAACCAGAAAGCCACGGCUAACUACGUG
Molecule: ribosomal RNA, 520 nt
Filed under: uncultured bacterium
Lineage: Bacteria
Description: partial 16S ribosomal RNA
Rfam family: Bacterial small subunit ribosomal RNA
Source: RNAcentral